UACCAGCACCCCGAGUGGUCGGGACGAUUAUUGGGCCUAAAGCAUCCGUAGCCGGUUCUACAAGUCUUCCGUUAAAUCCACCUGCUUAACAGAUGGGCUGCGGAGGAUACUAUAGAGCUAGGAGGCGGGAGAGGCAAGCGGUACUCAGUGGGUAGGGGUAAAAUCCGUUGAUCCAUUGAAGACCACCAGUGGCGAAGGCGGCUUGCCAGAAUGCGCUCGACGGUGAGGGAUGAAAGCUGGGGAGCAAACCGG
This 252-nucleotide ribosomal RNA is filed under the name uncultured bacterium. Its description in RNAcentral is "partial 16S ribosomal RNA". It matches the Rfam family "Archaeal small subunit ribosomal RNA", at positions 474 to 727 of the family's 1478-position model. The record is from RNAcentral.